UAAUACGUAGGGUGCGAGCGUUAAUCGGAAUUACUGGGCGUAAAGCGUGCGCAGGCGGUUCGCUAAGACCGAUGUGAAAUCCCCGGGCUUAACCUGGGAACUGCAUUGGUGACUGGCGGGCUAGAGUAUGGCAGAGGGGGGUAGAAUUCCACGUGUAGCAGUGAAAUGCGUAGAGAUGUGGAGGAAUACCGAUGGCGAAGGCAGCCCCCUGGGCCAAUACUGACGCUCAUGCACGAAAGCGUGGGGAGCAAACAGGAUUAGAUACCCUGGUAGUCCACGCCCUAAACGAUGUCAACUAGUUGUUGGGGAUUCAUUUCCUUAGUAACGAAGCUAACGCGUGAAGUUGACCGCCUGGGGAGUACGGUCGCAAGGAU
This 374-nucleotide ribosomal RNA is filed under the name uncultured bacterium. RNAcentral's name for it is "bacterial SSU rRNA". It matches the Rfam family "Bacterial small subunit ribosomal RNA", at positions 521 to 895 of the family's 1533-position model. The record is from RNAcentral.